CGGUCCCGAACGCGCAGUCGCGCGUCCGCGCUAGCUAGUCGUGAGUGGUCGAUCCUAACCCUAAACACGUAUUCAUUUGCACACGCGGGUUAGGGAUAGGGUUAGGAUCGACUGCGCGUUCGGGACCGUGCUGCUUUAGUAGUACCUAUAUACUAUAUAUAAUAUAAACAUAGACGUGUAUUUUAGCUGGGUGCGUUCAAUUACGUCCCCUCAUGCAAAAAGGGGGGGGGGGGCUUCCAUUCAAUAGACUGAAAUCGUAAAUCAGUCGCACCCCCCUCAAAAGUCCCUUAAAAAAUAAGGAGACAGUAGCAGAACGUUGAAAAAAUUUAUUUUUAUUCCACGGCUCCCAAGCUAAAAGGCCAUUUAAUGGUCUUUUUCGCUUUUCUUUUUAACACGUGUUACUGGCCGACUAAAUUUUAACAAUGAUGGAAUUAUUUUUAAUCACGUUGGUCGAAAUUUGAAAAAAAAUAUGCAAUGAAAUGUUACUAUAUAUUUAGAUUUUUUCCUUUUUCUUUCCCCAAUUUUUUUUUUUAUACAUUAUCAUUAUAACUCAUCCAGAUUGGAUUUUAAAUAUUAAAAUGGAACGUAGCAGGUGAACGACAAAUGCUUCAGAAAUCACAUUUCACUUAUUCAAUAACCAACCAGCUGGAGAUAUUGGAUCAUCCGAUGGAAUCUCGAAAGAUUGUCAUUCAUACUUUUAAUAAAUCUAAAACGACAGAUACUAAAAAUAACUACUCAUUUUUCUUUUAUUUACUGAUUCCAAAUGAUGGAUUUUACAUUAAAAGGGCCUAUUUUCUAAAGAUAUAGGAAAUCUUUCACGCCAUGCUGCUUUCUCUUUGAAUCGUACGGAUGUAGAAACAACAGUUCCUAGAAAAAGAUGAAUAUCCAUGUUAUGCCAGGAAAAAAGUUGGCCUAAGUGAAAUAAUACUACGAUUCAGUGCACGCUUUGCGUAGGACAAAAGAUGAAUGUUUCCCAUGAAAAACAUGUCUGGCCAUGAGAAAAUAUUACCUUCCUUAGAAACAGAUGAAGGUGGCAACAGGAAGGAUGUUCGGUCAUAGAAAAUAAAAUCUACCAUAAGAGAUUCUAUCUGACCCAUGCAAGCUUGGAAAAAUGGACAUUGGAAUAACAAUGCCUAUGACAGCAAUGAUGGCAGAGGUGGUGGCAUCAGCCAUGGCAGUGGUGCCAGUGGGAGCAGUGGCAGAGACAACAGCAACAAUAACAAUGACAAUAGAAGAAAAACCAGCCCAAGCCUCAAGAAAUUUGCUGGAUCAGGAAAUGUACAAAUUAAUGAAAAACAGACAAGGCAUCUUUUGUAGUACUGAUGUUACCAACAGUAUUAAUUGUAAUAAACAGUCACUAUCCUACUCCACAGCGGUAGCUGGUAAUAUAAAAAGACAAUCUAUUUCUUUUUAAUUACUCAACUCUAAAAGGUCUACUUUAUAUUUUUAUUUAUUUACUUUUUUGCCAUUUGUUUGUAACUGAUUUCUUUUUGUGCAGAUUUAACAAUGCAAAAACAA
Long non-coding RNA from Octopus bimaculoides (California two-spot octopus), 1518 nucleotides. The record is from RefSeq and is a predicted model, not a curated record. Lineage: Eukaryota; Metazoa; Mollusca; Cephalopoda; Octopoda; Octopodidae.